This 497-nucleotide ribosomal RNA is filed under the name uncultured bacterium. Its description in RNAcentral is "partial 16S ribosomal RNA". It matches the Rfam family "Bacterial small subunit ribosomal RNA", at positions 28 to 507 of the family's 1533-position model. The record is from RNAcentral.
GAUGAACGCUGGCGGCGUGCCUAAUACAUGCAAGUCGAGCGAACAGAUAAGGAGCUUGCUCCUUUGACGUUAGCGGCGGACGGGUGAGUAACACGUGGGUAACCUACCUAUAAGACUGGAAUAACUCCGGGAAACCGGGGCUAAUGCCGGAUAACAUUUAGAACCGCAUGGUUCUAAAGUGAAAGAUGGUUUUGCUAUCACUUAUAGAUGGACCCGCGCCGUAUUAGCUAGUUGGUAAGGUAACGGCUUACCAAGGCAACGAUACGUAGCCGACCUGAGAGGGUGAUCGGCCACACUGGAACUGAGACACGGUCCAGACUCCUACGGGAGGCAGCAGUAGGGAAUCUUCCGCAAUGGGCGAAAGCCUGACGGAGCAACGCCGCAUGAGUGAUGAAGGUCUUCGGAUCGUAAAACUCUGUUAUUAGGGAAGAACAAAUGUGUAAGUAACUGUGCACGUCUUGACGGUACCUAAUCAGAAAGCCACGGCUAACUACGUG